UAAUACGUAGGGGGCAAGCGUUGUCCGGAAUUAUUGGGCGUAAAGAGCGUGUAGGCGGUCCGGUAAGUCAGCUGUGAAAGUCAAGGGCUCAACCCUUGAAUGCCGGUUGAUACUGUCGGGCUAGAGUCCGGAAGAGGCGAGUGGAAUUCCCGGUGUAGCGGUGAAAUGCGCAGAUAUCGGGAGGAACACCAAUGGCGAAGGCA
This 203-nucleotide ribosomal RNA is filed under the name uncultured bacterium. RNAcentral's name for it is "partial 16S ribosomal RNA". It matches the Rfam family "Bacterial small subunit ribosomal RNA", at positions 521 to 723 of the family's 1533-position model. The record is from RNAcentral.